RNAcentral lists this long non-coding RNA (1497 nucleotides) under Solanum tuberosum (potato). RNAcentral describes it as "long non-coding RNA (STUB_LNC002940)". Lineage: Eukaryota; Viridiplantae; Streptophyta; Magnoliopsida; Solanales; Solanaceae. The record is from RNAcentral.
ACCAGCUACACACCUUCAUCUUCAAGUAUCAAAUUAGCUCGACAAUGGUUGUUGAUCCUCCAACCACGAGCUCUGUUGCUGUAACGAUGAUCGAUACAGGUAAUCCUCUCUAUAUUCACCCGUCUGAUAGCCCUAGUUUCACUUUAGCCCCCACUCCCUUUGAUGGUACUGGUUAUUGCUCAUGGAAGAGAAGUGUUUUGAGAUCACUUUCUGUGAAAAAUAAAUUGGGUUUCGUUACUGGUGAAUACCCAAAACCUGAUACUCCAUCUACGACGGUUCGUCAGUGGCAAAGAUGUGACAAUAUGGUCACCUCAUGAAUUUUGAAUUCCCUUUCAAAGGAAAUCGCAGACAGUGUUGAAUAUGUCGCCAACUCGGAGGAACUUUGGAAAGAACUGCAGGACCGAUAUGAUCUAACCAAUGGAGCGAAAUUGCAUCAAAUUCAGAAAGAGAUAAAUGAUUUAAGUCAAGGUGCCUUGGACAUUACUGGUUACUACACCAGAAUGAAGAAAUUGUGGGAAGAACUCAGUACCUUAGCAGCUAAUCACAUAUGCAACUGUCGAUGCACAUGUGGUGCCAAAGAUAUCAUGUAUAAGGCUGAACAGGACAGGCGCUUGAUCCAAUUUCUCAUGGGGCUAAACGAGGUUUACACAAUAAUGAGAGGAAGCAUUCUCAUGAUGACUCAUCUACCCUCCAUGGGACAAGCAUUUGCAUUUCUUGUGCAGGAAGAAAAACAAAGGGAAAUCAGACCACAACCAGAUGUUUGUUGAAUCUGCUUCUGUAGCUGUAAGUACUUCAGGCACUAAGACCUUCAAAACGAACUACACAUCCAACACCAACACUAAUGAAGCCAGCUCUAGUAGGUCUAGACUCUUUUGUGAGUACUGUAAGAGAUCGGGACACAUAAAAGACAAGUGUUACAGACUACAUGGAUACCCUUCUCAGCCAAAUCAAGGACAAGGUCAGAUCUCACAGAACAAUUCAUACAACCAGAGGAACUAUGGAUACAAUCCACCUACAAACAAUCAAAAGAACACAAUUAAUGGCUACAACAACAGGUUUAACAAGGGGAAAUGAAUAGCUGCAAAUACACAUUCUGAUAUGAAUCUUAUCAAGAGUGAGGAACCACCAUAUGAGAAUCAUCAGGGAACACAACUGUCCAAGGAACAAUAUGAUCAACUGAUGAACAUGCUGCAACACUUCAAUAAUUCUGAUCCACGCAGUGACACUCAAACUAGUGGAGCUGCAAACUUUGCAGGUACUAUUGCUUGCUCAUCUUCUGUGAAUUUUGAUAAACUGUCUUGUGGAUGUUUCAAAGAAAAGGCUGACUUAUGGAUCCUAGACUCAGGAGCAUCUCAUCAUAUGACUUUCAAUAGACAACACCUCACUAAUAUCCUACAAUUACCUUACCAUUUACUAGUGAAACUACCAAAUGGUUACAAUGUGAAGGUGACAAAAGUAGGCAAUGUGGUAUUAUCAUCUAAGAUCACUCUAUAUAAG